CCCCGCACAAGCAACGGAGCAUGCGGCUUAAUUCGACGCAACGCGAAGAACCUUACCAAGGCUUGACAUAUACAGGAAUAUGGCAGAGAUGUCAUAGCCGCAAGGUCUGUAUACAGGUGGUGCAUGGUUGUCGUCAGCUCGUGUCGUGAGAUGUUGGGUUAAGUCCCGCAACGAGCGCAACCCUCGUUCUGUGUUGCCAGCAUUUAGUUGGGGACUCACAGGAGACUGCCGGGGUUAACUCGGAGGAAGGUGGGGAUGACGUCAAAUCAUCAUGCCCCUUAUGUCUUGGGCUGCACGCAUGCUACAAUGGCUGGUACAAACGGCUGCAAUACCGCAAGGUGGAGCGAAUCCGAUAAAGCCAGUCUCAGUUCGGAUUGGGGUCUGCAACUCGACCCCAUGAAGUCGGAGUUGCUAGUAAUCGUAGAUCAGCAACGCUACGGUGAAUACGUUCCCGGGGCUGUACACACCGCCCGUCACGUCACGAAAGUCGGUAACACCCGAAGUCAGUGGCCCA
This 514-nucleotide ribosomal RNA is filed under the name uncultured Actinomycetes bacterium. Its description in RNAcentral is "bacterial SSU rRNA". It matches the Rfam family "Bacterial small subunit ribosomal RNA", at positions 919 to 1437 of the family's 1533-position model. Lineage: Bacteria; Bacillati; Actinomycetota; Actinomycetes. The record is from RNAcentral.